RNAcentral lists this ribosomal RNA (503 nucleotides) under uncultured bacterium. RNAcentral's name for it is "bacterial SSU rRNA". It matches the Rfam family "Bacterial small subunit ribosomal RNA", at positions 33 to 507 of the family's 1533-position model. The record is from RNAcentral.
ACACGCUGGCGGCGUGCCUAAUACAUGCAAGUUGAACGCAACAAAGACACCAGAGCUUGCUCUACCGUCUUUGGUUGAGUAGCGAACGGGUGAGUAACGCGUGGGUAACCUGCCUUAUAGCGGGGGAUAACUAUUGGAAACGAUAGCUAAUACCGCAUAACAAUAGAGAUUGCAUAAUCUUUAUUUGAAAGUGCCAACUGGUACACUAUGAGAUGGACCCGCGUUGUAUUAGCUAGUUGGUAGUGUAAUGGACUACCAAGGCGAUGAUACAUAGCCGACCUGAGAGGGUGAUCGGCCACAUUGGGACUGAGACACGGCCCAAACUCCUACGGGAGGCAGCAGUAGGGAAUCUUCGGCAAUGGACGAAAGUCUGACCGAGCAACGCCGCGUGAGUGAAGAAGGUUUUCGGAUCGUAAAACUCUGUUGUUAGAGAAGAAUGUUGAUUAGAGUGGAAAAUUAAUCAAGUGACGGUAUCUAACCAGAAAGGGACGGCUAACUACGUG